UAACGCGUGGGGCAACCUGCCCCAUAGAGGGGGACGAACAGCUGGAAACGGCUGCUAAUACCGCAUAACAAGGAGAGAGCGCAUGUUCUUUUCUUCAAAGAUUUAUCGCUAUGGGAUGGACCCGCGUCUGAUUAGCUGGUUGGUGAGGUAACGGCUCACCAAGGCGACGAUCAGUAGCCGGCUUGAGAGAGUGGACGGCCACAUUGGGACUGAGACACGGCCCAGACUCCUACGGGAGGCAGCAG
This 245-nucleotide ribosomal RNA is filed under the name uncultured bacterium. Its description in RNAcentral is "partial 16S ribosomal RNA". It matches the Rfam family "Bacterial small subunit ribosomal RNA", at positions 111 to 354 of the family's 1533-position model. The record is from RNAcentral.